Molecule: small RNA, 1035 nt
Filed under: Pan troglodytes (chimpanzee)
Lineage: Eukaryota; Metazoa; Chordata; Mammalia; Primates; Hominidae
Description: retained intron
Source: RNAcentral
UCGAUGAGGGCUAGAUAACUGGGGUGCGGGUUGGGGAGGGAGGUGAGAACAGGAACUGAGGAAAGAAGGCCAGAUGGCGGGUGAGUUUACUGCAAGCUGAUGUCAAUGCAACAAGAAUUAGGCAUAAAAGGAGAUUACCGUGCAUUGUUGAAGAAGGCUGUGAAAAGUGGGAAAGCAGGGGGCUGAAGCUGAACCCUAUCUUUUGUUUCCAAUCCCUCUCCAAAGAUUCGACACCUCUUAGAGGCUGCAAUCCCAGAGAGAGUUGAAGAGAUCCCUCCUGAAGUCCCUACAGAGCCCAGGGAGCCAGAGAGGAUUCCAGUCACUGUGCUGCCACCUGAGGCCAUCACGAUCCUGGAGGCAGAGCCCAUACGGAUGCUGGAGAUUGAGGGUGAACGGGAGCUCCCAGAGGUCAGCCGCCGAGAACUGGAGCUGCUGAUCGCAGAGGAAGAAGAAGCUAUCUUGUUAGAAAUCCCGCGGCUCCCACCUCCAGCUCCUGCAGAGUAAGGGCAAGAACUCCUAGACCAGGUAGGGUGUCAGUGCUGGGAAGGGUCUCCUCAUUUCUCUUGCCCAUUUCCCCUCAGGGUGGAAGGAAUAGCAGAGGCACUGGGUCCUGAGGAGCUGAGGCCGACAGGCUGGGAACCUGGGGCCCUACUCAUGGGUGAGUGCUCACCAUGCCCCAGGGGCUUUUCUGGGAGUACCUGGAUACUGCUGCAGACAAGGGCUUUAUAUCCCAACUUGCUAGAGGGAGGACCCUGCAGUUUCUUGCCCUGGCAUCUGCAAGGGGUAAGGGGCUUAUGGGACAGAGCCCCUUGGGUGUUGUUGCAGAGGUGACCCCCCCGGAGGAGCUGCGUCUGCCAGCCCCACCCAGCCCAGAGGUGAGUAGCCUCCCUUCUAAUCCUCCUCCUCCUCCUCUUUGCCCUCCCCCACAAGGACUGCCUCCCCAAGCCCAGGGCCACUGCUAGCUUACAGGGGUCCUUAGUGCAGAUGAUAAAAGAUGCCCCUUUCUACACCCCAUCGUAUCUGGCCUACGCUUCC